Pristionchus pacificus is the source of this 72-nucleotide non-coding RNA. NCBI's taxonomy places the organism in Eukaryota, Metazoa, Nematoda, Chromadorea, Rhabditida, Neodiplogasteridae. The record is from Rfam.
CCUUGUUUGUACUAGGCUAAGGAAUUACGUCAUAUUGAAGCGUUAAUUCCUCUAGUCCCGUGCAAUCCAGGC